GACUCUGCCUUAUGACUGGGCUACACACGUGCUACAAUGGAUGGUACAAAGGGCUGCAGACCGCGAGGUUAAGCGAAUCCCAUAAAACCAUUCUCAGUUCGGAUUGCAGGCUGCAACUCGCCUGCAUGAAGCCGGAAUCGCUAGUAAUCGCGGAUCAGCAUGCCGCGGUGAAUACGUUCCCGGGCCUUGUACACACCGCCCGUCACACCACGAGAGUUUGUAACACCCGAAGUCGGUGGGGUAACCUUUUGGAGCCAGCCGCCUAAGGUGGGACAGAUGAUUGGGGUGAAGUCGUAACAAGGUAGCCGUAUCGGAAGGUGCGGUUGAACCCCCCUCCUAAAA
This 342-nucleotide ribosomal RNA is filed under the name Bacillus sp. MN8-MN-2016. RNAcentral describes it as "bacterial SSU rRNA". It matches the Rfam family "Bacterial small subunit ribosomal RNA", at positions 1193 to 1533 of the family's 1533-position model. The record is from RNAcentral. Lineage: Bacteria; Bacillati; Bacillota; Bacilli; Caryophanales; Bacillaceae.